RNAcentral lists this ribosomal RNA (755 nucleotides) under uncultured Methanocalculus sp. RNAcentral describes it as "bacterial SSU rRNA". It matches the Rfam family "Archaeal small subunit ribosomal RNA", at positions 102 to 859 of the family's 1478-position model. Lineage: Archaea; Methanobacteriati; Methanobacteriota; Methanomicrobia; Methanomicrobiales; Methanocalculaceae. The record is from RNAcentral.
GGAUAAUCUGCCCUCAGGUGAGGAAUAAUCCCGGGAAACUGGGGCUAAUGCCUCAUAGGAGACGGGUGCUGGAAUGCUCUGUCUCCGAAAGGUCCGCCGCCUGAGGAUGAGUCUGCGUCCGAUUAGGUUGUUGUUGGGGUAACGGCCCAACAAGCCUUUGAUCGGUACGGGUUGUGGGAGCAAGAGCCCGGAGAUGGAUUCUGAGACAUGAAUCCAGGCCCUACGGGGCGCAGCAGGCGCGAAAACUUUACAAUGCGAGCAAUCGUGAUAAGGAAACCCUGAGUGCCUGUCAAUGCAGGCUGUUCUGGUGUCUAACACACACCAGGAGAAAGGGCGGGGCAAGACCGGUGCCAGCCGCCGCGGUAAUACCGGCUGCUCGAGUGAUAGCCACUUUUACUGGGCUUAAAGCGUUCGUAGCUUGGUCGUUAAGUCUCUGGGGAAAUCUUUUGGCUCAACCAAAAGGCGUCUCAGGGAAACUGACGAUCUUGGAACCGGGAGUGGUAAGACGUACUUCGGGGGUAGGAGUGAAAUCUUGUAAUCCCCGAGGGACGACCGAUGGCGAAGGCAUCUUACCAGAACGGCUUCGACAGUGAGGGACGAAAGCUGGGGGAGCAAACCGGAUUAGAUACCCGGGUAGUCCCAGCCGUAAACGAUGUGCGUUAGGUGUGUCAGUGACCACGAGUCCCUGAAGGUGCCGAAAGGGAAACCGUGAAACGGCACCGCCUGGGAAGUACGGUCCCAAGGCUGAAACUUAA